UCGCCAGCGGAAGGCUCUGACACGCGGUCCAUACCCGGCCGCCGGGACCGCGCCGAGCCACUGGCGAGACCGACCCGCGUGGCU
This 84-nucleotide non-coding RNA is filed under the name unclassified sequences. RNAcentral's name for it is "c-di-GMP sequence". It matches the Rfam family "c-di-GMP-II-GAG riboswitch aptamer". The record is from Rfam by way of RNAcentral.